Molecule: long non-coding RNA, 3111 nt
Filed under: Canis lupus familiaris (dog)
Lineage: Eukaryota; Metazoa; Chordata; Mammalia; Carnivora; Canidae
Description: lncRNA (ENSCAFG00000050422.1)
Source: RNAcentral
UUUUUUUUUUUUUGUACCCAUGCUGUUGAUUGUUAAAUGUAAUAGUCUGAUCAUGAUGCUGAAUAAAUGUGACUUUUAAAAAAGCAAACAAAAAGUCGCAGGUUAAGAUUAUAUGCUUUUACAAAGAAUAUGUUUGUUUCUGUUCUCUGUAUGAAAGUUUUGGCAAAGAUAAAAAUAUUCUUAUGGAUAUUUAGUAGAUAGAACAGAAGAAUGUCCAAUACCAUAAGCAAUAGUUUUCUACAAGUAAACCCAGAUUAUUUUAACAGCUAUUUAUUUCUGAUCAAUAGAAAAGCCUAUAUUCUAGGGCAGUGCUUCACAGCAGAAUUUUGGAUUGGAAUAAUGAUCAUGCAAGUGGACUCUGCACCAUUACUCUACACCCAAUGAUUAGGCUAAGUCUAACAGUAAUCUCAUUUCCAAGUGACUAGUUUAGGAGUGGGCAUGAACUAAUUCUAGCAUAAGACAAAGAUUUUUAAGGACCUGUGGAAAAAGUUGCCUUGUUCUUAAGGACACAGGAAAAAUUGACAUCUUACUUCCUUACUGGAUGUUGCUAUUCUGAUUUUGAAACUCUGGUGGCCACCUUUCUACCCACCUCUCUUAGUAUGGCAGUUGGAAUCAUGGUUUUCUGUCACGUGAGAAUUAAAAUAUCCUAACUGAUACAGGUAGGGAGGGAUAUACAAGCAUUCUGGGGAAUCAAGUGACCCCAAUGAGUUAUAACAGUGUCCAAACAUAAUUAGGAUAAAAUUUCUUCAGGAUAAGAAUAUGAUCAUUCACUUAAGAAAGUAGAAUAUUGGGACACCUGGGUGGCUCAGCGGUUGAGCAUCUGCCUUCAGCUCAGGGCAUGAUCCUGGUCUGGGGAUCGAGUCCCACAUUGGGCUCCAUGUGAGAGCCUGCUUUUCCCUCUGUCUAUGUCUCUGCCUCUCUCUCUGUGUCUCUCAUGAAUAAAUAAUAUCUUUAAAAAAAAGAAAAAGUAGAAUAGUGAAAAUGUAAUACAUAAAAAGAAUUAAUUCUUGCACAUUUCAGGAAAAAGAGGAAAGUUGAAAUGCAACACAGAUAUUUCAGCAAUGUAAUAGUGUAUUUUUAAACACAAUAAAACAAUGCUCAAUAAUUUUCAUAUGUUGAACCAACCAUGUACUCCUAGGAACAAUCCCACUGGGUCAUAGUGUAAAAUCUUUCUAAUAUGCUGCUGGAUUUGGUGUCCUAUAUUUUGUUAAGGAUUUUGCUCCUAGGGGCUCUGGGUGGCUCAGUUGGUUAAGUGUCUGCCUUUGGUUGUGGUCAUGCUCCCAGAGUCAUGGGACCAAGCUCAGAAUCAGGAUCACUGCUCAGUGGGGAGCCUGUUUCUCCCUCACCCUGUCCCCCGCCCAUGCUCUCUCUCUCUCUCUGUCUCUCUCUCAAAUAAAGUCUUUUAAAAAUAUAUGUAAGGAUUUUGCUUCUAUACUUAUAAGGGUUAUGGGUCUGAUAUCUGAAAUGCCAGCUCUACAUACAAUCCAUCUGGCAAGCUUCUAGGCCAUCAUAAUUCUGGUUUUCUUCCUCACUCCAUGGUAGCUCCUUCUCAGUCUCCUUUAAUGGCUCCUCCUCUUCAUUCUACCUCUUUGAAGUGUCUCAGGGCUCAGUCCUUGUUCCUUUUCUCUUCUUACAGUUCCUUUGAAAUCUCAUCUUCUCUUGUAGUUUUUAAUAUUGUCUAUAAGCCAACAACGCCCAAACAUAUGACUUCUACCAGACAUCUUUUCCAAACCACUUAUUCACUACCUCUAUUAGAUAUCAAAUCAAUAUCCCUAAUUCAACAAAUACGAAACAAAAUUCCUGAUCUCCCCCAUCAAAACCUGCUCUACCCACAGUUUUCUUUAUCUGGAUUGAUGACAACUCCACUUUCUACUUGCUCAGGCCAAAACUCUUGGGAGUCACCUUUGCCUCCUCUGUUGGCUUUUCUAAGUACAUCCUGAAACCAACAAUGUCUCACCACUUCCACUGGUACCACCCUGGUGUCACUCACCUUUAUCUCUCACUUUGGGUUACUUGCAAUAGCCUGCCAUCUCCUUAGACCCUUGACCAAAUACAGUCUAGUCUCAACACAGCAGGCAGAAUAAUCCUUUAAAAUAUCAAGACAGAACAUAUCACUUCCCUGUGCAAAACUCUACAAUGAUUCCCUGUUGUUACUUAAGAGUAAAAGCUAUUGUCUUUAACAUGGCCUAAGAGGCCCAACCAUGAUCUGGUCGCCGAUUCCUUCUUGAACCCCAUCCUUUGUAUGUCACCCCCACUCCCUGCACAAGCCACACUGGCCUUCUUACUGUUCCUAAAACACUAUGCAAGCUCCCCCUUAGGGCCUUUGUUCUAGCUGGUCCCCCUGUCUGGAAUACUCUUCUACCUUAUCUUACCCUAUUCUGAUUACUAACCCUUAUCCAUAACAAGCUGACCCAGACAUACAACCCAACCCUUUCUUUUAGUUCAGAAGGGGGGAAAUGCACAUACACAAACCACUCAUAAAAGUGGCUCAGAACUGAAGGCAGAAAUGGAGGGGAGUUGGUUAUAGCAACACAAAUAACACCCACUAAAACAUUAGUUGUGUCUCCCAUUUCUGCAAUGUCCUUUGGCCUCUCCCCAGCAAUCUCAACUGGCCUUGGAAAAUUCAAAAGAAAUCUCUACACUCCUUAGAAGACUGAGAGUUCUAUAGCCAUGCUAAAAAGUAAAUACCAGAAGUAGUUGUUAAUCCAUUAAGCUGCUCAAUGCAAUACAGUCAUAGUACAAUCCUAAGGUCAUGGUAACAAAUAAAUACCAAUUUUGUUUUUAAACUAUUUUUAUCAAUGAUAAUACCCUUCAGGAAAUACGCUUCUGAAACCAACUGGUCAGUGACAGCUCCAAGCUUUGAGAGUCAUAUAAUGGUGGCAGGCUCUCCAGGAACACACUUCUAAGGCUGAUGUCAACCCUGAAACAAACCAUUCCCCAAAACUGGAUCAACUUCAGAUGAGAGUUUGCUUUGUUCACUGAACUAGGCCUGGCCAGCAAGAGUCUCCCUGAUUCCAGAUACCGCAGUGUUCUCAUGAUGUUCUUUACACCAUUCAGUCCUGAGCCUCAGAUCUUCUUCCCUGCUCCUCCCUCCUCUCUGCUCAGUCCUCC